Molecule: transfer RNA, 69 nt
Filed under: Bemisia tabaci
Lineage: Eukaryota; Metazoa; Arthropoda; Insecta; Hemiptera; Aleyrodidae
Also listed under: 1 other name
Description: tRNA-Trp
Source: RNAcentral
AAAAUUUUAAGUUAGAUUAAACUGAUAAUUUUCAAAAUUAUAAUCAAACUUAAUUUAGUUUAAAUUUUA